GAUGAAGAACGAAGCGAAAUGCGAUAAGUAAUGUGAAUUGCAGAAUUCAGUGAAUCAUCGAAUCUUUGAACGCACAUUGCGCCCCCUGGUAUUCCGGGGGGCAUGCCUGUUCGAGCGUCAUUUCACCACUCAAGCCUCGCUUGGUAUUGGGCAACGCGGUCCGCCGCGUGCCUCAAAUCGACCGGCUGGGUCUUCUGUCCCCUAAGCGUUGUGGAAACUAUUCGCUAAAGGGUGUUCGGGAGGCUACGCCGUAAAACAACCCCAUUUCUAAGGUUGACCUCGGAUCAGGUAGGGAUACCCGCUGAACUUAAGCAUAUCAAUAAGCGGAGGA
RNAcentral lists this unclassified non-coding RNA (331 nucleotides) under soil metagenome. Its description in RNAcentral is "partial contains 5.8S ribosomal RNA, internal transcribed spacer 2, and large subunit ribosomal RNA". The stretch from base 1 to 120 matches the Rfam family "5.8S ribosomal RNA", at positions 35 to 154 of the family's 154-position model. The record is from RNAcentral.